RNAcentral lists this small nuclear RNA (18 nucleotides) under Arabidopsis thaliana (thale cress). RNAcentral's name for it is "snRNA_03839". Lineage: Eukaryota; Viridiplantae; Streptophyta; Magnoliopsida; Brassicales; Brassicaceae. The record is from RNAcentral.
ACAGCUGAAGCUAACAAA